This 505-nucleotide ribosomal RNA is filed under the name uncultured bacterium. Its description in RNAcentral is "partial 16S ribosomal RNA". It matches the Rfam family "Bacterial small subunit ribosomal RNA", at positions 28 to 507 of the family's 1533-position model. The record is from RNAcentral.
GACGAACGCUGGCGGCGUGCCUAAUACAUGCAAGUAGAACGCACAGUUUAUACCGUAGCUUGCUACACCAUACACUGUGAGUUGCGAACGGGUGAGUAACGCGUAGGUAACCUGCCUGGUAGCGGGGGAUAACUAUUGGAAACGAUAGCUAAUACCGCAUAAUAUUGAUUAUUGCAUGAUAAUUGAUUGAAAGAUGCUAUUGCAUCACUACCAGAUGGACCUGCGUUGUAUUAGCUAGUAGGUGAGGUAACGGCUCACCUAGGCGACGAUACAUAGCCGACCGGAGAGGGUGAUCGGCCACACUGGGACUGAGACACGGCCCAGACUCCUACGGGAGGCAGCAGUAGGGAAUCUUCGGCAAUGGACGAAAGUCUGACCGAGCAACGCCGCGUGAGUGAAGAAGGUUUUCGGAUCGUAAAGCUCUGUUGUAAGAGAAGAACGGGUGUGAGAGUGGAAAGUUCACACUGUGACGGUAUCUUACCAGAAAGGGACGGCUAACUACGUG